Molecule: ribosomal RNA, 260 nt
Filed under: uncultured bacterium
Lineage: Bacteria
Description: partial 16S ribosomal RNA
Rfam family: Bacterial small subunit ribosomal RNA
Source: RNAcentral
CGAGAAGCGAACCUGCGAAGGCAAGCGGAUCUCUUAAAGCCGUUCUCAGUUCGGACUGUAGGCUGCAACUCGCCUACACGAAGCUGGAAUCGCCAGUAAUCGCGGAUCAGCACGCCGCGGUGAAUACGUUCCCGGGCCUUGUACACACCGCCCGUCACACCAUGAGAGUCUGUAACACCCAAAGCCGGUGGGAUAACCUUUAUAGGAGUCAGCCGUCUAAGGUAGGACAGAUGAUUAGGGUGAAGUCGUAACAAGGUACC